This 485-nucleotide ribosomal RNA is filed under the name uncultured Actinomycetales bacterium. RNAcentral's name for it is "bacterial SSU rRNA". It matches the Rfam family "Bacterial small subunit ribosomal RNA", at positions 8 to 507 of the family's 1533-position model. The record is from RNAcentral. Lineage: Bacteria; Bacillati; Actinomycetota; Actinomycetes; Actinomycetales.
AGAGUUGAUCCUGGCUCAGAGACGCUGCGGCGUGCUUAACACAUGCAAGUCGAACGGUGAAGCGAGAGCUUGCUCUUGUGGAUCAGUGGCGAACGGGUGAGUACACGUGAGUAACCUGCCCCAGACUCUGGGAUAACCUCGGGAAACCGGGGCGUAAUACCGGAUACGAAAAGCUCAGGCAUCUGAAGCUUUUGGAAAGAUUUAUUGGUCUGGGAUGGACUCGCGGCCUAUCAGCUUGUUGGUGAGGUAAUGGCUCACCAAGGCGACGACGGGUAGCCGGCCUGAGAGGGCGACCGGCCACACUGGGACUGAGACACGGCCCAGACUCCUACGGGAGGCAGCAGUGGGGGAAUAUUGCACAAUGGGCGAAAGCCUGAUGCAGCGACGCCGCGUGGGGGAUGAAGGCCUUCGGGUUGUAAACCCCUUUUAGUAAGGAAGAAGCGAAAGUGACGGUACUUACAGAAAAAGCGCCGGCUAACUACGUG